Long non-coding RNA from Helicoverpa armigera (cotton bollworm), 575 nucleotides. RefSeq lists it as uncharacterized. NCBI's taxonomy places the organism in Eukaryota, Metazoa, Arthropoda, Insecta, Lepidoptera, Noctuidae. The record is from RefSeq and is a predicted model, not a curated record. The transcript has 2 exons.
ACGUCCUGAAGGAAUGUACUUCACGCACCCAGUAGUUUAAAUCAUCGACAGGAAUUUAUUUGACCAUUCCGAAUUGAAUCUGUACCUCGAGAGCUACAAUAUGUAAGAUAAGACUAUACUAGUAGUGGGUAUUAACACGCUGAAUGUUUUGUGUUUAGGUUCUGCAUUCAAGGGUGCAGUUCUACGGUCAGCGAUGGCAGACUCGACUUCGGAAGCUACAACAAGAGGAAGGGGAAUGGCAAGAAAAAAGCUGAUAUAUUGGACAGACACCGAUGUGGGUGUUCCUGCCGGCGGCGGUGAGAGGUAUCUUGACGGGCGACUCUCCGAUGACAAUGUUCUUGAUGCAGCCGGUGAAGCCGCGACGAGAGCGAACUCCGCGCACCCGGUGUAACGGCUUCUCGUGCCCGCCGAUGUACAGAGACGACCGAGUGUCGGUGGAAGCGUACGCGCCCAGACCCGGCUUAGAGAAGUGCCCGUCGACGCCCACCGAUACUACGUACAGAGACUUCACCACUGCAAACAGAUAAAUGCUUAUUAUUACAAAGAAAAUCAAAUAAAUAAAUGUACAAAAUGAG